Molecule: ribosomal RNA, 118 nt
Filed under: Salmo salar (Atlantic salmon)
Lineage: Eukaryota; Metazoa; Chordata; Actinopteri; Salmoniformes; Salmonidae
Source: RNAcentral
GCUACGGCCAUAUCAGCCUGGGUACGCCCGAUCUCGUCUGAUCUCGGAAGCUAAGCAGGGUCGGGCCUGGUUAGUACUUGGAUGUGAGACCGCCUGGGAAUACCAGGUGCUGUAAGCA